GGAUGUGAGGGCGAUCUGGCUGCGACAUCUGUCACCCCAUUGAUCGCCAGGGUUGAUUCGGCUGAUCUGGCUGGCUAGGCGGGUGUCCCCUUCCUCCCUCACCGCUCCAUGUGCGUCCCUCCCAAAGCUGCGCGCUCGGUGGAAGAGGACAACCAUCCCAGAUAGAAGGAGUGUACCGUUCUUCGGUCAAGGGUAUACGAUAGCUGCGCUCCCCUGCUAGAACCUCCAAACAAGCUCAAGGUCCUCUGUGCACAUUCUAGCUUGUCAAUAUCCUUCUUAAAUUGUGGCACCCA
This is a non-coding RNA of Podarcis lilfordi (Lilford's wall lizard), 293 nucleotides long. The record is from the annotation of a GenBank genome assembly. Lineage: Eukaryota; Metazoa; Chordata; Lepidosauria; Squamata; Lacertidae.